GACGAACGCUGGCGGCGUGCUUAACACAUGCAAGUCGAACGGGCCCGCUCUCUUUUUUGGGGGUGGGUUGAGUGGCGAACGGGUGAGUAUCACGUGAGUAACCUGCCCCCUGCUCCUGGAUAACUGCUUGAAAGGGCGGCUAAUACGGGGUGUGCCGGCUGGUCCGCAUGGGCCUGGUCGGGAUAGUUUCAUCUUCGGGUGUUUCGGUGGGGGAUGGGCUCGCGGCCUAUCAGCUUGUUGGUGGGGUGAUGGCCCACCAAGGCGGUGACGGGCAGCCGGCCUGAGAGGGUGGGCGGCCACACUGGGACUGAGACACGGCCCAGACUCCUGCGGGAGGCAGCAGUGGGGGGUAUUGCACAAUGGGCGGAAGCCUGAUGCAGCGACGUCGCGUGAGGGAUGGAGGCCUUCGGGUUGUGAACCUCUUUCUCCGGUGGUGAAGGCCCUGUCCGUUGCGGCGGGGUUGACGGUAGCCGGGUAUGAAGCGCCGGCUAACUACGUG
This 499-nucleotide ribosomal RNA is filed under the name uncultured bacterium. RNAcentral describes it as "partial 16S ribosomal RNA". It matches the Rfam family "Bacterial small subunit ribosomal RNA", at positions 28 to 507 of the family's 1533-position model. The record is from RNAcentral.